CUAGUGGUCCUUUCCAAAACUGGCAGAGGAUCCCACCCCAUCAUCCUUGUCUGAUUUGGGAAGUUAAACAGGAUCUGGCCUGGUUAGUACUUGGGUGGGAACCACCAAGAAAUCCCAGUGAUCUCCAGC
Molecule: ribosomal RNA, 129 nt
Filed under: Pogona vitticeps (central bearded dragon)
Lineage: Eukaryota; Metazoa; Chordata; Lepidosauria; Squamata; Agamidae
Source: RNAcentral